Molecule: non-coding RNA, 172 nt
Filed under: marine eukaryotic metagenome
Description: Lysine riboswitch
Rfam family: Lysine riboswitch aptamer
About the family: Riboswitches are metabolite binding domains within certain messenger RNAs that serve as precision sensors for their corresponding targets. Allosteric rearrangement of mRNA structure is mediated by ligand binding, and this results in modulation of gene expression.
Source: RNAcentral
AGGGUUGAGGCGCAGGUUAUCAUCAGUAUCCUGCAGAGGAUGGCGGAUCCGGAUCUGCAGAAGAAAGGGAGAACCUGCCGAAGCCUGAUGUCCCCCGCCGGGACAAAGGCUGGGCCAGAAGAUAAUAUCUUCUGGACUGUCACAGGACCCGGUCCUGUGGAGCGCUCUCUUG